UAAGCCUGCGAAGGUGGCCUGUGAGGGUUGCUGGAGGUAUCAGAAGUGCGAAUGCUGACAUAAGUAACGAUAAAGCGGGUGAAAAGCCCGCUCGCCGGAAGACCAAGGGUUCCUGUCCAACGUUAAUCGGGGCAGGGUGAGUCGACCCCUAAGGCGAGGCCGAAAGGCGUAGUCGAUGGGAAACGGGUUAAUAUUCCCGUACUUGGUGUUACUGCGAAGGGGGGACGGAGAAGGCUAUGUUGGCCGGGCGACGGUUGUCCCGGUUUAAGCGUGUAGGUGUGUGUUCCAGGUAAAUCCGGUUCACUUUAACACUGAGGCGUGACGACGAGGCACUACGGUGCUGAAGCAACAAAUGCCCUGCUUCCAGGAAAAGCCUCUAAGCAUCAGGUAACAUCAAAUCGUACCCCAAACCGACACAGGUGGUCAGGUAGAGAAUACCAAGGCGCUUGAGAGAACUCGGGUGAAGGAACUAGGCAAAAUGGUGCCGUAACUUCGGGAGAAGGCACGCUGACACGUAGGUGAAGUGAUUUACUCAUGGAGCUGAAGUCAGUCGAAGAUACCAGCUGGCUGCAACUGUUUAUUAAAAACACAGCACUGUGCAAACACGAAAGUGGACGUAUACGGUGUGACGCCUGCCCGGUGCCGGAAGGUUAAUUGAUGGGGUCAGCGCAAGCGAAGCUCCUGAUCGAAGCCCCGGUAAACGGCGGCCGUAACUAUAACGGUCCUAAGGUAGCGAAAUUCCUUGUCGGGUAAGUUCCGACCUGCACGAAUGGCGUAAUGAUGGCCAGGCUGUCUCCACCCGAGACUCAGUGAAAUUGAACUCGCUGUGAAGAUGCAGUGUACCCGCGGCAAGACGGAAAGACCCCGUGAACCUUUACUAUAGCUUGACACUGAACAUUGAGCCUUGAUGUGUAGGAUAGGUGGGAGGCUUUGAAGUGUGGACGCCAGUCUGCAUGGAGCCGACCUUGAAAUACCACCCUUUAAUGUUU
RNAcentral lists this ribosomal RNA (989 nucleotides) under Salmonella enterica subsp. enterica. Its description in RNAcentral is "partial 23S ribosomal RNA". It matches the Rfam family "Bacterial large subunit ribosomal RNA", at positions 1243 to 2215 of the family's 2925-position model. The record is from RNAcentral. RNAcentral also lists the same sequence under 1 other name. Lineage: Bacteria; Pseudomonadati; Pseudomonadota; Gammaproteobacteria; Enterobacterales; Enterobacteriaceae.